This 253-nucleotide ribosomal RNA is filed under the name uncultured bacterium. RNAcentral's name for it is "partial 16S ribosomal RNA". It matches the Rfam family "Bacterial small subunit ribosomal RNA", at positions 524 to 776 of the family's 1533-position model. The record is from RNAcentral.
UACGUAGGGGGCGAGCGUUGUCCGGAAUCAUUGGGCGUAAAGCGCGUGUAGGCGGCUCGAUAAGUCCGGUGUGAAACCUUGGGGCUCAACCCCAAGCCUGCACUGGAUACUGCCGAGCUAGAGUCCGGGAGGGGAGAGCGGAAUUCCUAGUGUAGCGGUGAAAUGCGCAGAUAUUGGGAAGAACACCGGUGGCGAAGGCGGCUAUCUGGCCCGUAAUUGACGCUGAGGCGCGAAAGCGUGGGGAGCAAACAGG